RNAcentral lists this ribosomal RNA (425 nucleotides) under uncultured Enterobacteriaceae bacterium. RNAcentral's name for it is "bacterial SSU rRNA". It matches the Rfam family "Bacterial small subunit ribosomal RNA", at positions 356 to 774 of the family's 1533-position model. The record is from RNAcentral. Lineage: Bacteria; Pseudomonadati; Pseudomonadota; Gammaproteobacteria; Enterobacterales; Enterobacteriaceae.
GGGGAAUAUUGCACAAUGGGCGCAAGCCUGAUGCAGCCAUGCCGCGUGUAUGAAGAAGGCCUUCGGGUUGUAAAGUACUUUCAGCGGGGAGGAAGGUGUUGUGGUUAAUAACCGCAGCAAUUGACGUUACCCGCAGAAGAAGCACCGGCUAACUCCGUGCCAGCAGCCGCGGUAAUACGGAGGGUGCAAGCGUUAAUCGGAAUUACUGGGCGUAAAGCGCACGCAGGCGGUCUGUCAAGUCGGAUGUGAAAUCCCCGGGCUCAACUGGGAAAUGGAGUCGGAAACUGCAGGGUAGAGUCUUGUAGAGGGGGGGAGAAUUCCAAGUGGAGGGGUGAAAAGCGUAAGGGACUUGGGGAAUACCGGUGGCGAAGGCGGCCCCCUGGACAAAGACUGAAGGUUAGGGGGGAAAGGGGUGGGAGCAAACA